UUUAUUGCACUUAAAUAAACCAGGGAAUUGUGUUUAAUUGUCUGUUAUUUACCUGUUUUCCAAAUUCUGCUUAAUUUGGUCGGAAAUUCGUAAUUGUGCUAAUUUGGGUUUUCUAAGCUGAUUAAGUGUAUUUUGGUUCUAGGGAAAUUUUGGGAAACAUCAUUUGGAGCAUUAGGGAUGGUGGCGUGAUCAUUCAAGACUCAACAUUUAGUCACUUCCAUUUUAAUUAAGUUGUAAUUUCGUUUUCUAGAAGCCCUUAAUUAGAAUUAGGUGUUUUGGACCCCUUUAGGGGCAUUUUUGUAAAAACCAAUUGUGGGGGCCAUGUGGCAUCCCUUUAGGGCUGACUUGUAGUGUGUGGACCCCACCAAAAUUAAAACUCAUGGUCAUGUAUGAAGACUCUCUCUUGGAGCUUGCCAUGGGGUUUUCGGUUUUGGCUAUUUGAAUGAACAAAGUUGCAGAUUUUAUUCUUCUCUUGCUUUAAUCUUGGCUGUCUUAACUCAUUGGUGGUGAAAAUCCUUUCAUUCCUUCUUCCAUUUGCUUGUUUUUNAUGUUUGAAGCUUGAGCUUUUAAGCUUUUCUUUGCAUUUCAAUGGUGAUUGUUGGGUUUGAGUGACUUUAUAUUUUCGUUUUUCCUCUUCUUUACUGUUGUUCCUCACAUUUUUCUUUGCAUUUUGGUUGGUUGGUUGAUGAAAAUGAGGUUCUAUGUGAGUUUUGGGUUAAAGAGAGCUUAAGGUGUUGUGUGGGUGUUGUGGGUUUGGCUCUUCCAUAUUUCGGUUUUGAUGUUUGAAANUAGUUUGGAACCAGAUUUUGAUGAUGUUAUUGGGGCUGGACAUUGCUUGAUUUGAAUGGCUAAGAUAUUAUUUUCGUUUUUGCAAAGAAACUUGAAGAAAUGAUAGUGUUAAAGUUGGGUUGAUGAGUAGAAGUUUGGGGUUUAUUGUUCUUGUGUUCAUUUGCAACUUAAACUUUGGUUUCUUGGGGUUCAUUCUNGNUANUGUGAAGAGAAGAAAGCUUUGGAUGGUGGUUGAGAAGAAAGAAAACCGAAAUUGAGGUUGGAAGUGAGAGAAAAGGGUG
RNAcentral lists this long non-coding RNA (1070 nucleotides) under Vigna radiata. RNAcentral describes it as "long non-coding RNA (VRAD_LNC006247)". Lineage: Eukaryota; Viridiplantae; Streptophyta; Magnoliopsida; Fabales; Fabaceae. The record is from RNAcentral.